RNAcentral lists this ribosomal RNA (425 nucleotides) under uncultured bacterium. RNAcentral describes it as "bacterial SSU rRNA". It matches the Rfam family "Bacterial small subunit ribosomal RNA", at positions 355 to 796 of the family's 1533-position model. The record is from RNAcentral.
UAGGGAAUUUUCCACAAUGGGCGAAAGCCUGAUGGAGCAACGCCGCGUGCAGGAUGAAGGCCCUCGGGUCGUAAACUGCUUUUCUCUGUGAAGAUUAUGACGGUAGCAGAAGAAUAAGGAUCGGCUAACUCCGUGCCAGCAGCCGCGGUCAUACGGAGGAUCCGAGCGUUAUCCGGAAUUACUGGGCGUAAAGAGUUGCGUAGGUGGCAUGGUAAGCAGAUAGUGAAAACGUGUGGCUCAACCACAUAUCCAUUAUCUGAACUGCCAAGCUAGAAGACGAGAGAGGUAGAUGGAAUUCCCAGUGUAGGAGUGAAAUCCGUAGAUAUUGGGAGGAACACCGAUGGCGUAGGCAGUCUACUGGCUCGUUCUUGACACUAAGGCACGAAAGCGUGGGGAGCAAACGGGAUUAGAUACCCGCGUAGUCC